UCUUGCAAACUAAAGAUGGCGACCGGCGCACGGGUGAGUAACACGUAUCCAACCUGCCGAUAACUCGGGGAUAGCCUUUCGAAAGAAAGAUUAAUAUCCGAUAGUAUAUUAAACCGCAUGGUUUUACUAUUAAAGAAUUUCGGUUAUCGAUGGGGAUGCGUUCCAUUAGUUUGUUGGCGGGGUAACGGCCCACCAAGACUACGAUGGAUAGGGGUUCUGAGAGGAAGGUCCCCCACAUUGGAACUGAGACACGGUCCAA
RNAcentral lists this ribosomal RNA (259 nucleotides) under uncultured bacterium. RNAcentral describes it as "partial 16S ribosomal RNA". It matches the Rfam family "Bacterial small subunit ribosomal RNA", at positions 73 to 334 of the family's 1533-position model. The record is from RNAcentral.